CCUACGGGGGCUGCAGUGGGGAAUAUUGGACAAUGGGGGCAACCCUGAUCCAGCCAUGCCGCGUGUGUGAAGAAGGCCCUCGGGUUGUAAAGCACUUUCAGUGAGGAAGAACGCCUGGUGGUUAAUACCCAUCAGGAAAGACAUCACUCACAGAAGAAGCACCGGCUAACUCCGUGCCAGCAGCCGCGGUAAUACGGAGGGUGCGAGCGUUAAUCGGAAUUACUGGGCGUAAAGCGCGCGUAGGUGGCUUGAUAAGCCGGUUGUGAAAGCCCCGGGCUCAACCUGGGAACGGCAUCCGGAACUGUCAAGCUAGAGUGCAGGAGAGGAAGGUAGAAUUCCCGGUGUAGCGGUGAAAUGCGUAGAGAUCGGGAGGAAUACCAGUGGCGAAGGCGGCCUUCUGGACUGACACUGACACUGAGGUGCGAAAGCGUGGGUAGCAAACAGGAUUAGAUACCCUAGUAGUC
RNAcentral lists this ribosomal RNA (464 nucleotides) under Vreelandella stevensii. RNAcentral describes it as "partial 16S ribosomal RNA". It matches the Rfam family "Bacterial small subunit ribosomal RNA", at positions 338 to 795 of the family's 1533-position model. The record is from RNAcentral. Lineage: Bacteria; Pseudomonadati; Pseudomonadota; Gammaproteobacteria; Oceanospirillales; Halomonadaceae.